GCCAAGCCUAGCCCGACGGGGCGAAAACCGGGGAACCCUUGCCCGGCUGGCUUGGUGUCUCUCUCAAGGG
Gammaproteobacteria bacterium RIFCSPLOWO2_12_47_11 is the source of this 70-nucleotide non-coding RNA. Lineage: Bacteria; Pseudomonadati; Pseudomonadota; Gammaproteobacteria. The record is from Rfam.